AAGUUUUACCAAGCCAAACGAAACAAUAUAGGAACCGGUUAAGAGUAAGGGCGACAUAUGUCCAUUAGGAAAAAAACAAAGUCUUCCCACAUUCUUAAAAAGCAAGAGGAAAAUUCCAAGGGCAAACUGUACCAAUUCCUAGAAACAAAACAUAUAAAAGAUGACAUCAAAUUUCGCAAAUUUGCAUUUGAAGAGAGAGAGAGAGAGAGAGAGAGCAUUAGCACAACACAACACGGCCAACCAACAUGCACAGCCCCCAAGAAAACACAAGGAGCAUUUAGUGGACAGCCUGACCAGCAGUUUGAAUUAACAAGGUAAUGAAACAGUGUUUUCAGACCCCCAAAAAAAUCUACUUUGGCUCUUUUUUACUGCUUCAUCUUCCUGUUAAUUUCUGGCUUUUUGUUGGAAGGGAAGCAAAAAUGGAAAAAACACUUCUGGGUUCGCUUUCUCCAGAAAUGGGGUUUUUCCAAGAGAUAGGUGAAGAAGAAGAAGAAGCACAAAGUAGGCACUAACAAAGAAGAAGAACUGAGAGAGAGAGAGAGAGAGAGAGAGAGAGACCAACUUGAGCAUUUUGCAGAGCCUUUCAUAUGAAUUCACAAAUAGCUAACAAAGUAGAAAAGCAACAAAGAUGAGAGCAAAUUGGAAGCAGAGAAAUACAAGAUUGAGCCGUCCCGCCAAUAUCACCACCACCACCACCACCACCGUUAGAGGCUAAACAAGCAGGAGAACAGUGAUAAGCAAGUGACAAGAAUUGAACCUCGCAAAAGAGCCCAAAUCUGCCACACCUCACAUAAGCAAAAAGAGCAAUGCCAUUCUUCAGCUCGCCACCCAACACCACCACCGCCACCACCGCCAGAUGCACUCCCCACGCUCCACCGCCGUCGCCGCCGCCUUCGCCGUCGCUUCCACAGUCGCAGCAGCAGCAGCAGCAUGUGUUCACCCAUCAAUUGAGGCGAAAGGUGGAAUUUUUAAGCAGCGUUACCCCCAGAAAACAAGAUAGAACAGAGGCGGGUGGGGUGCUUGCGUGCCUGUCAGAAAGAGCACAAAUCAUGGAAGAGGGAAACAUGGGUUUUUCCGUUCUCGCAACGUUUCCUUCCCUUCUCUCAAGAAUUCCUCGUUUCCUGGGAGUACCAAGUCGUGUCUUCUUGUCCUGUCCUGAAAAGAAAUGGAGAAAAGGGCUGUUGGGAAAUGAUAAGAGAGGGAGGGAGGGAGGGGAGGUUGUGUGCUGCGCUGGGUUACAAGAAGCCGAGGACGUGAGAUUGCCUUGGCUUCGUGCGUGCACGGGAAGAGACCAUUUCUGCAACUGUACUCUCCCCCUUCUUCUCACACCAUAAUGAUGAGGCUUAAAAGUGACCUGAGCGAGAGUGAAAACGAAAUGGGUCUUGUGUGUUUUUCCUGAGGGAAGAGGGAAGGGGGUGGGGGUGUGUUUUCCUUUGAUAUGGAUUGUGAUUUGAUGUUUGGCUUUAAGCUCGGGCGAUUUCUGCUUGCCCCAGGAGGCCCAGGAUUAGCUAGAUUUGCGCAAGCAACCUCUGCUGCUGUCCUGUUUCCCUUGCCUGCCCUCAAACGUUCUCCUGAAUUACAUCCGUGUCCCUCCCUCUCUAUUGCCCCCUCUGAGAAAGAGAAACGAAAAAAAGCAGGGCUGUAACAUCACCACCACCGAAGAGAAAAGCGACGUCCAUGUCCUAAAACAUAUCGGUCAGUCAAAACGGGGUUCAGCUCUUUCUGAGGCUACUGUGAAUAUUUAAGUUUGAAAAUGGGGGAGAGAGAGAGAGAGAGAGAGAGAGAGAGAGAUGGAGACUGAGAGUUGCGACUAAACAGGGGCGCCACAGUCGAGGACCAUCGAGACGGACACCCGAGAACCAAAAGGACCCCGACUAGACAUUGAGUCCCCCUCCCCUUUUCCCACGGCCUAACAUUCGGUUUUGAUUGGUUCUAGGCCUUCUUCCACUGCACACUCGUUCAUGUCCAGGUCUAUUCCUAUUCUAUGUUUGCCUGCCCCCCCACCUCCUCCUCCUUGUGAACUCGAACCGCUGUUUUGCACUAUCGCACGUAUAGCUUCGCGCACUUCACUUCGUCAAUCACGACCCCCGACUUUCGAAAAAGGAUGAGAAAAGAGGGAAAGCUAACCGCAAGCAAGCAAAAAGGUGGAACUCCAAGUGGUCUCCCUCUCGCCCUGUUCCUUUCCUUUGUAAGAACCCCAAAAGGCCUUUGGAAUUAUCUCUAUUCAUAUGCAAUUACUAUUCGGCAGAACAUCGUAGGCUAGGGCAUGGAAGAUAAUUCACUCGUGAUUCGCUUAUUAUCAACGUCGAUGACAUGCUUUUUCUAAUUGAAUCGACUACAUUAUUUGAAUCUAAUACAUUAAAAUUGACUAUGAUAUCAUCUAAUCACGGUGAUCGAGAACACUUUUGAAAAGUGAUCGUGAUAUCAUUUUUCCACGCCAUUGAUGUAUGAUUGGUUAAGAUUAAACCAAUUUGACCUUAUGGUUAAGUGCAAGGAAUGUGACCAUAAGUAGGUAAGGUUACAACUACAAGCAUGAGUUAAUGAAGGUGGUGGGGUCUAUGGUCAUUGCAAAAUCCAGGCACGAGUUAAUGAAGGUAGAAGAGAGGGAAAAGUACUCCCGGAUUUUUCGUAUCCAUGUUCAAAGGGAAGCGUCUUCCCCUAUCUCACAAUGCGUGAGAAUGAGCAUUAGAUGGGCUGUGCAGUUUCCUUUCGAGGGUCCUGCAGCUUCCUUGCUUCCAUGAGUGACCAAAUUCUGCUCCUCACCCAUUCCAUUCUGUCAAUAUUUGGGCAAGUUAGUGCAUUUCUGUACUAGUGCAUUUCUGUACUCUUUUUCCCCCCUUUCUUCUUUUUACUCAGCUGGCCUAAGGGACUAAGGGAGAUUUUUUUUAUUGGGGGGGGACCCUAGUUCUACUAAGGGAAGAUACACUUGAAUUCGUGUUGAGCAAUGCCUUGAAUGCAAAGAUUUCGUAAAAUUGACACGGUAUAUGAAUUUGUGAGGGAUAAAGUGAAGAAAUCACUUUUAGGGAGCAAAGUGAUGCUCGAGGAAUUAAAGUGUUGAUUAUCUUUUCAAAAAGCAAGAGUCUGGGAGCCCAGGGUAUGAUUACCAGCUUGCAUGUGGCUAAGUUGCAUUGAGAGAGAGAGAGAGAGAGAUUUCACAUUGAUAAGAUCAAUGAUGCAAACGACAGAAACGGAUGAAAUGCAAAGCUUGGAUUAAACAUGAAGUUAGCUAUAAUUAUUAUGAAACCUUUCUUAAUAUUUUCCCUCACGUGUAAACAGUCACGCAUGUGAAAAACAUGAUAUUGACAUAAUCGCUUGAAAACAAAAAGAAAGGUUUUGAGAUGGAAAACUAAUUGAAAAACAUGAACAAUUGAUGAGAUAAAGAUGAUUGUAAGUGAGAUGACUCGAUUAUGUGACAUGUUAUCAUUUCAAUAACGAUUAUCCCAAUGAAAAGUAAGAAAAGAAAACGCGCAAUAAAAAAUGGGAGAAAUUCUCCAAGAUUAUUACUAUUAUCAUCAUCAUUAGAUCCUGCAGAUCAUCAUCUCUCCUAGUUGGGGGAAGAAUCGAAAAUUUUAUGCAUUUCUCCAAAUUUUAAAGCUUAAUUUAGGUUCAACUUAUUUAAAUUUGACCAUAGGAUAAGAGAAAAUAAGAAGAGAGAGAACAAGAGAAACGAUGGAGAAGCUGAAUAGGAUAGGAUCGGAGAAGAUAUCAAUCGUUAUCGACUGAGAUCUCCAGUCCAUUUAUAGAAACUUUUGAUGGGGGGUACUGGGCAUUCAUGCACAUCCCUAGAACAGAAAAAGUUCAAAGGAGUCAACGUACGAAAAUUCAAACCCAACACCCUCCUGCGCGCCGCGCCUUUUCAGGUUUAACUCUUCCUCAACACAUGAACAUCCAAGCUCAGACGCAGAAAACACGCACUGUAGUGAGAGAGAGAGAGAGAGAGAGAGAGAGAGAGAGAGAACCUGUUACAGUGAUUAUAUGUACUUGGAAUCUCGCUUGUUUCACUGUUAAAGAAAGAACUUCGAGCCCUCAGGAGCUGCGAAGCGUUACGGAGGCUCUUCCUAGGGUUUGAACAUUCAUGUGAGUGAGAGAGAGAGAGAGA
Molecule: long non-coding RNA, 4099 nt
Filed under: Eucalyptus grandis
Lineage: Eukaryota; Viridiplantae; Streptophyta; Magnoliopsida; Myrtales; Myrtaceae
Description: long non-coding RNA (EGRA_LNC001218)
Source: RNAcentral